RNAcentral lists this ribosomal RNA (468 nucleotides) under uncultured bacterium. RNAcentral describes it as "partial 16S ribosomal RNA". It matches the Rfam family "Bacterial small subunit ribosomal RNA", at positions 28 to 507 of the family's 1533-position model. The record is from RNAcentral.
GAUGAACGCUGACAGAAUGCUUAACACAUGCAAGUCUACUUGAAUUUGGGUUUUUUAACUUAGAUUUGGGUGGCGGACAGGUGAGUAACGCGUAAAGAACUUGCCUCACAGCUAGGGACAACAUUUGGAAACGAAUGCUAAUACCUGAUAUUAUGAUUAUAAGGCAUCUUAGAAUUAUGAAAGCUAUAUGCGCUGUGAGAGAGCUUUGCGUCCCAUUAGCUAGUUGGAGAGGUAACGGCUCACCAAGGCGAUGAUGGGUAGCCGGCCUGAGAGGGUGAACGGCCACAAGGGGACUGAGACACGGCCCUUACUCCUACGGGAGGCAGCAGUGGGGAAUAUUGGACAAUGGACCAAGAGUCUGAUCCAGCAAUUCUGUGUGCACGAUGACGUUUUUCGGAAUGUAAAGUGCUUUCAGUUGGGAAGAAAAAAAUGACGGUACCAACAGAAGAAGUGACGGCUAAAUACGUG